GUUGAACGCUGGCGGCGUGCCUAACACAUGCAAGUCGAACGAAAAGAUAAAGCACUUGGCUGUUUCACGUAAGCGGCGGGGGCGGGUGAAAAAUGUGUGUAAAGCUCCCUUAUGACGGGGAAAAACUAGUGAAAACGGUACCUAAUACGGCAUAAUUUCCCAAGACCAAGGUGGGUUAGCGACAGGCGGCUUUCCAUCGGAUUUUCCCAGAUCGGAUUAGCUUGUUGGUGGGGUAACGGCUAACCAAGGCGACGAUCCAUAGCCGGCCUGAGAGGAUGAUCAGCCACACUGGAACUGAGACACGGUCCAGACUCCUACGGGAGGCAGCAGUGGGGAAUCUUGCACAAUGGGCGAAAGCCUGACGCAGCAAUGCCGCGUGUAUGAUGAAGGUCUUCGGGUCGUAAAGUACUUUUAGUGGGGAGGAACCGAGUUAUGUUAAUACGUUCGCUCAUUGACGUUACCUGAAGAAGAAGCACCGGCUAACUACGUG
RNAcentral lists this ribosomal RNA (490 nucleotides) under uncultured bacterium. Its description in RNAcentral is "partial 16S ribosomal RNA". It matches the Rfam family "Bacterial small subunit ribosomal RNA", at positions 28 to 507 of the family's 1533-position model. The record is from RNAcentral.